AUUGAACGCUGGCGGCAGGCCUAACACAUGCAAGUCGAGCGGAUGAAGGGAGCUUGCUCCUGGAUUCAGCGGCGGACGGGUGAGUAAUGCCUAGGAAUCUGCCUGGUAGUGGGGGAUAACGUCCGGAAACGGGCGCUAAUACCGCAUACGUCCUGAGGGAGAAAGUGGGGGAUCUUCGGACCUCACGCUAUCAGAUGAGCCUAGGUCGGAUUAGCUAGUUGGUGGGGUAAAGGCCUACCAAGGCGACGAUCCGUAACUGGUCUGAGAGGAUGAUCAGUCACACUGGAACUGAGACACGGUCCAGACUACUACGGGAGGCAGCAGUGGGGAAUAUUGGACAAUGGGCGAAAGCCUGAUCCAGCCAUGCCGCGUGUGUGAAGAAGGUCUUCGGAUUGUAAAGCACUUUAAGUUGGGAGGAAGGGAAGUAAGUUAAUACCUUGCUGUUUUGACGUUACCAACAGAAUAAGCACCGGCUAACUUCGUG
Molecule: ribosomal RNA, 484 nt
Filed under: uncultured bacterium
Lineage: Bacteria
Description: partial 16S ribosomal RNA
Rfam family: Bacterial small subunit ribosomal RNA
Source: RNAcentral